This 491-nucleotide ribosomal RNA is filed under the name uncultured Sphingobacteriales bacterium. Its description in RNAcentral is "bacterial SSU rRNA". It matches the Rfam family "Bacterial small subunit ribosomal RNA", at positions 904 to 1382 of the family's 1533-position model. Lineage: Bacteria; Pseudomonadati; Bacteroidota; Sphingobacteriia; Sphingobacteriales. The record is from RNAcentral.
CCCGCUCAGAAACUUAAGGAAUUGACGGGGGCCCGCACAAGCGGUGGAGCAUGUGGUUUAAUUCGAUGAUACGCGAGGAACCUUACCUGGGCUCAAAUGUAUGUUGACGUAUUCUGAAAGGGAUACUUCUUCGGACAAUAUACAAGGUGCUGCAUGGUUGUCGUCAGCUCGUACCGUGAGGUGUCGGGUUAAGUCCCAUAACGAGCGCAACCCCUAUCAUUAGUUGCCAUCAGGUCAAGCUGGGGACUCUAAUGAAACUGCCUACGCAAGUAGUGAGGAAGGUGGGGAUGACGUCAAAUCAGCACGGCCCUUACGUCCAGGGCUACACACGUGCUACAAUGGCCGAUACAGAGGGCAGCUACCUGGUGACAGGAUGCAAAUCUCCAAAGUCGGUCUCAGUUCGGAUCGGAGUCUGCAACCCGACUCCGUGAAGUUGGAUUCGCUAGUAAUCGCGCAUCAGCCAUGGCGCGGUGAAUACGUUCCCGGGCCUU